RNAcentral lists this unclassified non-coding RNA (195 nucleotides) under uncultured Truncospora. RNAcentral's name for it is "sequence contains ITS2". The record is from RNAcentral. Lineage: Eukaryota; Fungi; Basidiomycota; Agaricomycetes; Polyporales; Polyporaceae.
AAUCUUCAAUCUUAUAGGUCUUUGCGGGUCUAUAGGCUUGGACUUGGAGGCUUGUCGGUAUUAAUGCCCGGCUCCUCUUAAAUGCAUUAGCUUGAUUCCUUGCGGAUCGGCUCUCGGUGUGAUAAUUGUCUACGCCGUGACCGUGAAGCGUUUUGGCAAGCUUCUAACUGUCUUGUAAGAGACACUAUUUAUGAC